This 490-nucleotide ribosomal RNA is filed under the name uncultured bacterium. RNAcentral's name for it is "bacterial SSU rRNA". It matches the Rfam family "Bacterial small subunit ribosomal RNA", at positions 28 to 507 of the family's 1533-position model. The record is from RNAcentral.
GACGAACGCUGGCGGCGUGGAUUAGGCAUGCAAGUCGAACGGUAGGAUACCUUCGGGUAUCUGAGAGUGGCGAACGGGUGAGUAACACGUAGGUGAUCUACCCUCAAGAUUGGGACAACCCAGGGAAACUUGGGCUAAUACCGGAUGAAAGCAGCAGUGAUGUUGUUUGAAAGGUGGCGUAAGCUGCCGUUUGGGGAUGAGCCUGCGCUCUAUUAGUUAGUUGGCGGGGUAAAGGCCCACCAAGGCGAUGAUAGAUAGGCGGCCUUAACGGGUGGUCGCCCACACUGGGAUUGAGAUACGGCCCAGACUCCUACGGGAGGCAGCAGUCGAGAAUAGUCUACAAAAUGGCCGAAAGGCUGAUAGUGCGACGCCGCGUGAACGAAGAAGCCCUUCGGGGUGUAAAGUUCUUUUAUAUGUGAGCAGUGCUUUCUAUGUGAACAGCAUGGGGAGAGAGAUAUUAGCAUAUGAAUAAGCAACGGCUAACUCCGUG